RNAcentral lists this ribosomal RNA (642 nucleotides) under uncultured eukaryote. Its description in RNAcentral is "bacterial SSU rRNA". It matches the Rfam family "Eukaryotic small subunit ribosomal RNA", at positions 1046 to 1649 of the family's 1831-position model. The record is from RNAcentral.
CCAGCGAUUAGCCUGAGUUCCUUAAAUGACUCGGCUAGCAGCUUCCGGGAAACCAAAGUGUUUCGGUUCCGGGGGAAGUAUGGUUGCAAAGCUGAAACUUAAAGGAAUUGACGGAAGGGCACCACCAGGAGUGGAGCCUGCGGCUUAAUUUGACUCAACACGGGAAAACUUACCCGGCCCGGACACUGGAAGGAUUGACAGAUUGAGAGCUCUUUCUUGAUUCAGUGGGUGGUGGUGCAUGGCCGUUCUUAGUUGGUGGAGCGAUUUGUCUGGUUAAUUCCGAUAACGAAUGAGACUCUAGCCUACUAAAUAGACUGUUCAGCUUUAUAGCCGGAAUCACCGGGCGCGUAGCUCCUCACGGGGUUGCGCGUUCGGCUCUGGUGACGUUGACAGUGCUUCUUAGAGGGACAGGCGGCGGUUCAGCCGCACGAAACAGAGCAAUAACAGGUCUGUGAUGCCCUUAGAUGUCCGGGGCUGCACGCGCGCUACACUGAAGUGAUCAGCGUGCAAUUUACGUUUGGUGAUCUGUCAAGAUUGCCCAACCCGUUGAACCUUCUUCGUGAUUGGGAUAGGGGAUUGUAAUUAUUCCCCUUGAACGAGGAAUUCCCAGUAAGCGCCAGUCAUAAGCUAGCGUUGAUUACG